GGGCCCGCACAAGCAGUGGAGUAUGUGGUUUAAUUCGAAGCAACGCGAAGAACCUUACCAGGGCUUGACAUCCUACUAACGAAGUAGAGAUACAUUAGGUGCCCUUCGGGGAAAGUUAAGACAGGUGGUGCAUGGUUGUCGUCAGCUCGUGUCGUGAGAUGUUGGGUUAAGUCCCGCAACGAGCGCAACCCCUAUUGUUAGUUGCUACGAGAGAGCACUCUAGCGAGACUGCCGUUGACAAAACGGAGGAAGGCGGGGACGACGUCAAAUCAUCAUGCCCCUUAUGUCCUGGGCUACACACGUAAUACAAUGGCGCAUUAACAGUGGGAAGCAAUGGCGCGAGCCGGAGCAAAUCCCCAAAAGGCGUCUCAGUUCGGAUUGCAGGCUGCAACUCGCCUGCAUGAAGUCGGAAUUGCUAGUAAUCGCGGAUCAGCAUGCCGCGGUGAAUACG
Molecule: ribosomal RNA, 451 nt
Filed under: uncultured Eubacteriales bacterium
Lineage: Bacteria; Bacillati; Bacillota; Clostridia; Eubacteriales
Description: bacterial SSU rRNA
Rfam family: Bacterial small subunit ribosomal RNA
Source: RNAcentral